RNAcentral lists this transfer RNA (72 nucleotides) under Cordylochernes scorpioides. Its description in RNAcentral is "tRNA-Gly". The stretch from base 7 to 66 matches the Rfam family "tRNA", at positions 6 to 65 of the family's 71-position model. Rfam says of the family: Transfer RNA (tRNA) molecules are approximately 80 nucleotides in length. Their secondary structure includes four short double-helical elements and three loops (D, anti-codon, and T loops). Further hydrogen bonds mediate the characteristic L-shaped molecular structure. tRNAs have two regions of fundamental functional importance: the anti-codon, which is responsible for specific mRNA codon recognition, and the 3' end, to which the tRNAs corresponding amino acid is attached (by aminoacyl-tRNA synthetases). tRNAs cope with the degeneracy of the genetic code in two manners: having more than one tRNA (with a specific anti-codon) for a particular amino acid; and 'wobble' base-pairing, i.e. permitting non-standard base-pairing at the 3rd anti-codon position. The record is from RNAcentral. Lineage: Eukaryota; Metazoa; Arthropoda; Arachnida; Pseudoscorpiones; Chernetidae.
AUCAUCGGUGGUUCAGUGGUAGAAUGCUCGCCUGCCACGCGGGCGGCCCGGGUUCGAUUCCCUGCCACAAUU